This is a long non-coding RNA of Mytilus trossulus (common blue mussel), 219 nucleotides long. RefSeq lists it as uncharacterized. The transcript has 3 exons. NCBI's taxonomy places the organism in Eukaryota, Metazoa, Mollusca, Bivalvia, Mytilida, Mytilidae. The record is from RefSeq and is a predicted model, not a curated record.
GGAUUCUUAAUACUUCAAAUGGUAGUCAACACCCACUAUCAACAAACAACUUCAGAAGCAUAACAUCCGGUCACGGUCGACUGAUUAGAACAAACAUCAAAUCAAAAGUAAAGGAUGAUGAUUGUUAUACCAUGAAAUUGACAUCGUACGAAGUAAAUAAACAGUUUAAACAAGAUAGUCCAAAGUGAAGAGAAUCUGUAAGUAUUUUGGGAAAUCGGU